CAGUAGCCGCGGUAAUGCGUAGGGUGCGAGCGUUAAUCGGAAUUACUGGGCGUAAAGCGUGCGCAGGCGGUUUUGUAAGACAGGCGUGAAAUCCCCGGGCUCAACCUGGGAAUGGCGCUUGUGACUGCAAAGCUAGAGUGCGGCAGAGGGGGAUGGAAUUCCGCGUGUAGCAGUGAAAUGCGUAGAUAUCGGGAGGAACACCAGUGGCGAAGGCGAUCACCUGGGGUUGUUCUGACGCUGAGGAGCGAAAGCUAGGGGAGCAAAUGGGAUUAGAUACCCCCGUAGUCCCUGUCUCUUAUAA
Molecule: ribosomal RNA, 301 nt
Filed under: uncultured bacterium
Lineage: Bacteria
Description: partial 16S ribosomal RNA
Rfam family: Bacterial small subunit ribosomal RNA
Source: RNAcentral